CGCACAUUGCGCCCUUUGGCAUUCCGAGGGGCAUGCCCGUUCGAGCGUCAUUAAAUCCAAUCAAGCCUGGCUUGGUGUUGGGCGUCGGGACCCCUCCCGCGCCCCAAUUUCGUCGGCUAACCGUUGGCCCAAUACUAUCGUGUUGUGACCUUUGUAUUUCACGAUAUGAGGGGCGGACCAUGCCGUUAAACAUAUUCAAUUACGAUUGAUCAAGGUUGACCUCGGAUCGGGUAGGAAUACCCGCUGAACUUAA
This 253-nucleotide unclassified non-coding RNA is filed under the name Capnodiales sp. RNAcentral describes it as "partial contains 5.8S ribosomal RNA, internal transcribed spacer 2, and large subunit ribosomal RNA". The record is from RNAcentral. Lineage: Eukaryota; Fungi; Ascomycota; Dothideomycetes; Capnodiales.